AACGCGAAGAACCUUACCUACUCUUGACAUCCACGGAACCUGGUAGAGAUACUGGGGUGCCUUCGGGAACCGUGAGACAGGUGCUGCAUGGCUGUCGUCAGCUCGUGUCGUGAGAUGUUGGGUUAAGUCCCGUAACGAGCGCAACCCUUAUCCUUAGUUGCCAGCCUGUAAUGCGGGGAACUCUAAGGAGACUGCCGGUGACAAGCCGGAGGAAGGUGGGGACGAAGUCAAGUCAUCAUGGCCCUUACGAGUAGGGCUACACGCGUGUUACAAUGGACGGUACAAAGGGCAGCGAACCCGCGAGGGGGAGCAAAUCCAAUCAAAGCCGUUCGUAGUCCGGAUUGGAGUCUGCAACUCGACUCCAUGAAGUUGGAAUCGCUAGUAAUCGUAGAUCAGAACGCUACGGUGAAUACGUUCCCGGGCCUUGUACACACCGGUAUCUC
RNAcentral lists this ribosomal RNA (443 nucleotides) under uncultured bacterium. RNAcentral describes it as "bacterial SSU rRNA". It matches the Rfam family "Bacterial small subunit ribosomal RNA", at positions 958 to 1400 of the family's 1533-position model. The record is from RNAcentral.